Molecule: long non-coding RNA, 1050 nt
Organism: Salvia miltiorrhiza (redroot sage)
Lineage: Eukaryota; Viridiplantae; Streptophyta; Magnoliopsida; Lamiales; Lamiaceae
Exons: 3
Source: RefSeq, a predicted model, not a curated record
UGGGGAUGAGUAUAAAUUAUUUACGUUGAAAGUAUGUUGAGUUUUGCUGCAAUGAUUGAAGUAUUAUCAGAAAGUACAAGUUCAGUUCAGUAUUCAAGUUAUUAUGUUGAAGAUUAUUGCAGCUAUGAUUUGUUAAAUUUCGAGGACGAAAUUCUUUUAAGUGGGUAGGUUUGUCACAGCCCAAAACCAUUUACUUCAUUUGCAAAUUUUAUUUGAAAAUUAUUAUAUUUUUUAGUUAUUAAAAUAUAUAUCUAUGAGUCGAGUUUGUGUUUAAUCUAGUUGCGCCCCUAGUUAGAUAUAUCACUUUAAAUUAUAAAUUAUGCCUUUAAAAAAAAUAUAGAUUUAUAUUAUCUAAUACUCUGAUUUAAGAUGGGACCACGAUUACAUUUUAUUUUACAUAUUAGACCUUAAUUAUAUUUUUAUUCUUAUUUUCUUGAUAUUGGACUAAUGAUAUAGUAAAAUCCCAUGACAUUUUUUAGUAAAUUGUGAGCAUUAAUUUCUUUCCUUUACUAAUUCCUUGAGAUAAAAAUUACGUGCCUUUCUUUUCAGCCACAUUUUUAUGUUUAUUCCUCAGCCACAUUUCUUUAAUUCUUGGGGAGCACGCAUCAUUUUAAUUUAAUAGUCUUGUGCAUCAUGAAAUUCAUUCAAUUUAAAGUUUAUCUACCAGUUUCCACCGCCUCAUUUUUAUCAUGUUUACUUCUUUCCAUUUUCUGAAAAGAUUUCAAAACCUUUCAAAACCGUAAAUUCAACCAUUGAUGUUUCCUCUCACCACAUAUCUCAUUCUGCAACUCUCAUUCAGCUGGUGCGGCGCGACUAGGACAUGGAUUUUACUUUGAAUUAUCAAAAUUAACUUUCAAGUUCAAGUUACAGGUAACUAAGGUUGGAGACGCGUAGAGGAUCGAAUGGGCGCGUCAAGUAAAUAUUUUUGGAAAAUAUAAUGUUGUAGUUACACCCAACCUUUUGUUUUGUACAGUUUUCGAAGUCUCAAACUACUCUUGAGAUUUUGGUGUAACUUAUCAAGUUUAAUGUUAUCAUAUUAGCUUCCUAGCA